This 253-nucleotide ribosomal RNA is filed under the name uncultured bacterium. RNAcentral's name for it is "partial 16S ribosomal RNA". It matches the Rfam family "Bacterial small subunit ribosomal RNA", at positions 524 to 776 of the family's 1533-position model. The record is from RNAcentral.
GACAGAGGGUGCAAACGUUGUUCGGAAUUACUGGGCGUAAAGCGCGUGUAGGCGGUUCGGAAAGUCGGAUGUGAAAGCCCUGGGCUUAACCCAGGAAGUGCACUCGAAACUCCCGAACUAGAGUCCUGGAGAGGAAGGCGGAAUUCUCGGUGUAGAGGUGAAAUUCGUAGAUAUCGAGAGGAACAUCGGUGGCGAAGGCGGCCUUCUGGACAGCGACUGACGCUGAGACGCGAAAGCGUGGGGAGCAAACAGG